ACCCGCUGAACUUAAGCAUAUCAAUAAGCGGAGGAAAAGAAACCAACAGGGAUUGCCUUAGUAACUGCGAGUGAAGCGGCAAAAGCUCAAAUUUGAAAUCUGGUGCCUUCGGCGCCCGAGUUGUAAUUUGGAGAGACAUCUUCGGAGUAGACGCCGUCCUAAGUUCCUUGGAACAGGACGUCACAGAGGGUGAGAAUCCCGUGCCUGGAUGGCUGUUCUACUUCAUGUGGAGUGUCUUCGACGAGUCGAGUUGUUUGGGAAUGCAGCUCAAAAUGGGAGGUAAAUUUCUUCUAAAGCUAAAUAUUGGCGAGAGACCGAUAGCGCACAAGUAGAGUGAUCGAAAGAUGAAAAGCACUUUGAAAAGAGAGUUAAAAAGUACGUGAAAUUGUUGAAAGGGAAGCGCUUGAGACCAGACUCGACCAGUGGUGAUCAGCGGUGCUUCUGUGCCGUGCACUUGCCAUUGGUUGGGCCAGCAUCGGUUUGGACGGCGGGAUAAAGACCUAAGGAAUGUGGCUCCCUCCGGGGAGUGUUAUAGCCUUGAGUGCAAUGCCGCCAGUCUGGACCGAGGACCGCGCUUCGGCUAGGAUGCUGGCGUAAUGGUCUU
RNAcentral lists this ribosomal RNA (604 nucleotides) under uncultured fungus. Its description in RNAcentral is "eukaryotic LSU rRNA". It matches the Rfam family "Eukaryotic large subunit ribosomal RNA", at positions 23 to 641 of the family's 3401-position model. Lineage: Eukaryota; Fungi. The record is from RNAcentral.